This 497-nucleotide ribosomal RNA is filed under the name uncultured bacterium. RNAcentral describes it as "partial 16S ribosomal RNA". It matches the Rfam family "Bacterial small subunit ribosomal RNA", at positions 28 to 507 of the family's 1533-position model. The record is from RNAcentral.
GAUGAACGCUGGCGGCGUGCCUAAUACAUGCAAGUCGAGCGAACAGACGCUGCUCUUGCUCCUCUGACGUUAGCGGCGGACGGGUGAGUAACACGUGUAUAACCUCCCUAUAAGACGGGGAUAACUUCGGGAAACCGGAGCUAAUCCCGUAUGAUCUAUUGAACCGCAUGGUUCAAUGGUGAAAGACGGUGUUUCUGUCACUUAUAGCGGGAUCCGGGCCGCAUUAGCUAGUUGGUAAGUUAACGGCUUACCAAGGCAACUAUGCGUAGACGACGGGAGAGGGUGAUCGGCGACACUGGAACGGAAACACGGUCAAGAGGACUACGGGAGGCAGCAGAAGGGUACCUUACGCAAUGGGCGAAAGCAUGACGGAGCAACGGCGCGUGAGAGAUGAAGGUCUUCGGAUCGUAAAACUCUGUUAUGAGGGAAGAACAAAUGUGUAAGUAACUAUGCACGUAUUGACGGUAACUAAUAAGAAAGCCACGGCUAACUACGUG